RNAcentral lists this non-coding RNA (210 nucleotides) under Anaerobacillus alkalilacustris. Its description in RNAcentral is "T-box sequence". It matches the Rfam family "T-box leader". From Rfam's summary of the family: Uncharged tRNA acts as the effector for transcription antitermination of genes in the T-box leader family. Lineage: Bacteria; Bacillati; Bacillota; Bacilli; Caryophanales; Bacillaceae. The record is from RNAcentral.
AUAUAAGUGUUGAAAGGGACUAGUAAAUAACGUUUUAACGAAAGAGAGUGGAAUUCAGUGGCUGAAAGAUUCCAUCGUGAAAAAACUUAUUGAACCUACCCUAGAGCUGUUAGGUUAAUCCCUAACCGUCACACCAACGUUAAAGGUGCUAAGAGGACAUCUUUUGAUGUCAAUUAAGGUGGUACCGCGGAUAAACUUUCCGUCCUUGUU